This 727-nucleotide ribosomal RNA is filed under the name Streptomyces sp. Its description in RNAcentral is "bacterial SSU rRNA". It matches the Rfam family "Bacterial small subunit ribosomal RNA", at positions 137 to 876 of the family's 1533-position model. The record is from RNAcentral. Lineage: Bacteria; Bacillati; Actinomycetota; Actinomycetes; Kitasatosporales; Streptomycetaceae.
UCUGGGACAAGCCCUGGAAACGGGGUCUAAUACCGGAUAAUACUUCUGCCUGCAUGGGUGGGGGUUGAAAGCUCCGGCGGUGAAGGAUGAGCCCGCGGCCUAUCAGCUUGUUGGUGAGGUAGUGGCUCACCAAGGCGACGACGGGUAGCCGGCCUGAGAGGGCGACCGGCCACACUGGGACUGAGACACGGCCCAGACUCCUACGGGAGGCAGCAGUGGGGAAUAUUGCACAAUGGGCGGAAGCCUGAUGCAGCGACGCCGCGUGAGGGAUGACGGCCUUCGGGUUGUAAACCUCUUUCAGCAGGGAAGAAGCGCAAGUGACGGUACCUGCAGAAGAAGCGCCGGCUAACUACGUGCCAGCAGCCGCGGUAAUACGUAGGGCGCAAGCGUUGUCCGGAAUUAUUGGGCGUAAAGAGCUCGUAGGCGGCUUGUCGCGUCGGUUGUGAAAGCCCGGGGCUUAACCCCGGGUCUGCAGUCGAUACGGGCAGGCUAGAGUGUGGUAGGGGAGAUCGGAAUUCCUGGUGUAGCGGUGAAAUGCGCAGAUAUCAGGAGGAACACCGGUGGCGAAGGCGGAUCUCUGGGCCAUUACUGACGCUGAGGAGCGAAAGCGUGGGGAGCGAACAGGAUUAGAUACCCUGGUAGUCCACGCCGUAAACGGUGGGAACUAGGUGUUGGCGACAUUCCACGUCGUCGGUGCCGCAGCUAACGCAUUAAGUUCCCCGCCUGG